RNAcentral lists this ribosomal RNA (218 nucleotides) under uncultured bacterium. RNAcentral's name for it is "partial 16S ribosomal RNA". It matches the Rfam family "Bacterial small subunit ribosomal RNA", at positions 1 to 224 of the family's 1533-position model. The record is from RNAcentral.
UGAGUUUGAUUCUGGCUCAGAGUGAACGCCGGCGGCGUGCUUAACACAUGCAAGUCGAACGGUAACAGGAAGAGCUUGCUCUUUGCUGACGAGUGGCGCACGGGUGAGUAAUAUAUAGGUAAUGUGCCCCAAAGACCGGGAUAGCCAUUGGAAACGGUGAUUAAUACUGGAUAUGCCUCUAUCACAUGAGUGAGCGAGGGAAAGUUUUUCGCUUUGGG